This 76-nucleotide transfer RNA is filed under the name Leuconostoc mesenteroides. RNAcentral describes it as "tRNA-Met(cat)". It matches the Rfam family "tRNA". Rfam says of the family: Transfer RNA (tRNA) molecules are approximately 80 nucleotides in length. Their secondary structure includes four short double-helical elements and three loops (D, anti-codon, and T loops). Lineage: Bacteria; Bacillati; Bacillota; Bacilli; Lactobacillales; Lactobacillaceae. RNAcentral also lists the same sequence under 16 other names. The record is from RNAcentral.
UCGCGGGAUGGAGCAGUCUGGUAGCUCGUCGGGCCCAUAACCCGAAGGUCGUAGGUUCAAAUCCUGCUCCCGCAAU